Molecule: ribosomal RNA, 747 nt
Filed under: uncultured bacterium
Lineage: Bacteria
Description: bacterial SSU rRNA
Rfam family: Bacterial small subunit ribosomal RNA
Source: RNAcentral
GCGCUUAUCUUUGAUUCUUCGGAUGAAGAGAUUUGUGACUGAGUGGCGGACGGGUGAGUAACGCGUGGGUAACCUGCCUCAUACAGGGGGAUAACAGUUAGAAAUGACUGCUAAUACCGCAUAAGACCACAGAGCCGCAUGGCUCGGUGGGAAAAACUCCGGUGGUAUGAGAUGGACCCGCGUCUGAUUAGGUAGUUGGUGGGGUAACGGCCUACCAAGCCAACGAUCAGUAGCCGACCUGAGAGGGUGACCGGCCACAUUGGGACUGAGACACGGCCCAAACUCCUACGGGAGGCAGCAGUGGGGAAUAUUGCACAAUGGGGGAAACCCUGAUGCAGCGACGCCGCGUGAGCGAAGAAGUAUUUCGGUAUGUAAAGCUCUAUCAGCAGGGAAGAAAAUGACGGUACCUGACUAAGAAGCACCGGCUAAAUACGUGCCAGCAGCCGCGGUAAUACGUAUGGUGCAAGCGUUAUCCGGAUUUACUGGGUGUAAAGGGAGCGUAGACGGCUGUGUAAGUCUGAAGUGAAAGCCCGGGGCUCAACCCCGGGACUGCUUUGGAAACUAUGCAGCUAGAGUGUCGGAGAGGUAAGUGGAAUUCCCAGUGUAGCGGUGAAAUGCGUAGAUAUUGGGAGGAACACCAGUGGCGAAGGCGGCUUACUGGACGAUGACUGACGUUGAGGCUCGAAAGCGUGGGGAGCAAACAGGAUUAGAUACCCUGGUAGUCCACGCCGUANACGAUGACUACUA